This 374-nucleotide ribosomal RNA is filed under the name uncultured bacterium. RNAcentral describes it as "bacterial SSU rRNA". It matches the Rfam family "Bacterial small subunit ribosomal RNA", at positions 790 to 1167 of the family's 1533-position model. The record is from RNAcentral.
GUAGUCCACGCCGUAAACGAUGAGUGCUCGAUGCUGCCUCACUCUAGAGGCGGUGUCUAAGCUAACGCGUUAAGCACUCCACCUGGGGAGUACGCUCGCAAGGGUGAAACUCAAAGGAAUUGACGGGGGCCCGCACAAGCGGUGGAGCAUGUGGAUUAAUUCGAUGCAACGCGAAGAACCUUACCCAGGCUCGAACACCAGCUGACAGGCCCUGAAAGGGGCCCUCCUUCGGGCAGUUGGUGAGGUGCUGCAUGGCUGUCGUCAGUUCGUGUCGUGAGAUGUUGGGUUAAGUCCCGCAACGAACGCAACCCCUAUCGCUAGUUACCAGCGGGUUAUGCCGGGGACUCUAGCGAGACUGCCUGCGCAAGCAGUGA